Molecule: long non-coding RNA, 688 nt
Filed under: Gossypium barbadense (sea-island cotton)
Lineage: Eukaryota; Viridiplantae; Streptophyta; Magnoliopsida; Malvales; Malvaceae
Description: long non-coding RNA (GBAR_LNC016249)
Source: RNAcentral
AAAAGCCAACUAAAAUUGCAUGUAUGAAUCCAUGAGUUUUGAAAAACAUCAAUGUAAUGACCCAUUUUUGCCCGGGCCCAAAACUAAAUAAACAAAACCCAAAAUAAAAAAAUAAACAAUCCAAAAAAAUUAUAAACUCAAACCCAACCUAAACCUAACCCUAGUAGCCCAAUCAGCCCAAUACCCAAAAAUAGAAAAAACAAAUUUUACCCUAGGUGCGCCGCACCUAGGUCUUCCCUUAGGCCUUCUCCUAGUCACCGCACGCCAGCCACCGCCACCUCCACGCGCGUCGCACGCCUCUGACACAUGCAGAGAGAAAUCAAUGCAAGACCACAGAAGAAACAACUAGAAGGAAAAAAAAAAUAGAAAUGAAGAGGUUGUAACUUGGCUAUAAAAGCCAAAAUGUCCUCUUUGUAUUGGUUUCUUCUACGAACAUUAAUAAAAAAAAACGAAAACAGAAAACAGAUUUCAGAGGUGAUUUUUUUUUACUUUCUUGUUUGAUUUUUUUAAUUUUAUUUUCAUUUUUUACAUACUAUAAUAAAAAUAAAAUAAAAAGGGAAAGGGAGGCUCACCGGAGAUGUCUGUGACCACACUAUUGGAGGGCUUUUCUCCGUCACCGGAACCGAGUCCAAAAGGGUCGAGAGUCCUCCUUUUUUUAUUUUUAUGGGUUGAGAGGGCUUGGCUCUCA